AAAAGAAUAUAACAGACUUACCAAAUACAAUAAAGACUAGAAGGAGCAUAACAGUAGCGAAAAUCAGGAGCGCCACCUUCCUGUAGAAGAUUGCAACAGAUACAUGUUAUACAGAUUAGUUUGCUAUGCUAUGGCAUCAUAGACUAUCAUCUUGUGCAUCAUCAUAAAUUUGCUACUCUAUGGCCAUCAUUAUUUAUAUAUAACACCAAAUUAACAGAAACCAAACAUAAUGAAAACAGUCUCAAGUUUCUGCCAAAAGAGAAUGUAUAUUACCUUUGCAAAAGAAAUCCUAGAGCAGCUUUUCAAUCAGUUUUGAAAAUCACCGCCAUCAAUUAGCCUCUACAGUUAGUUGAUGAUAUCAGUAGUCCAAUCUGUUGAGAUGAAACCACAAAAUGAAUGAAAAAAAUAAAUAAUAAAAAGGAGUAAGAUUGCUACUGAGUAUGAUGCCAUAAGCAAUAUUAACCAUUAAUUAGACAUCAAUAAGCCAAAUUGAGAAUGGCUUCUUAUGAAAAGGUUGUGCACUCUUGAGGCAUGAUGCCUUGAGCAACUAAGAAAAAUUUAAAACUGUGUUAUAGAAAAGUUCAACAUACCAAAGAAGCAAGAAGCAAAAAUCAAUAAAGCUCAUACCAAUACGACCUAUGUCAAAAUUCAACAAGAAUUAUCGUAUAUACUGGCUUUGACCUUUUCACUGAGCAGUUAGUAGUAGUCAUGUUGUUGCUGUGUAAACAAAAGAGCCUGCACCAGAAAACACAAAUAUAGAUCAGUGGCUCCUAAGACCAAGAAGACCCCAACUUGCAAACCUUAAAUGAUUUUGAGACUCCACUUAGAAGUCACUGAUCUAUAUCUCAUAUAUCUGAAAUUUUAACACCAAAUCCAGAAGUAAUUAGGAUCCAGCUCUAGUCAUAAAGUAAGUACCCAAAAUAGACAAUCAUAGUAAAGCGAAAUAAUAUGUAGUAAUACCAGAACCCAAAUCAUGAACAAAGCACAAGUUGCAUAUCAUAACAGCACAUGAUUCAUAUAUAGUGAGUAACCACAUAAGAUCAAUUGAUAAAGAGAAAAGCUGAAAAAUAAAAGGCAGAGAGAAGGCUACAACGAAAAUUAAUCAAAACCAAUGGUAGAAUGAAUCAAUACAAUCUGAAUUGUAUUCAGCCAGUGUUAAUGCUCUUUCUAACAAGAUGAUCGAUGGUCCAUUCUGAAUUGUAUGCAAACAUGUUAAUAAAUCAUUUAUUUGCUAUUAAACUCAUGGUGGUCCUAACAGUAACAGAAGCCAUAUUCAAACACUUGCAUUAACAAAGACUAGGCUAAAAAGGUCAAACACAAGCCAUAUUCAAACAAGCUCACAGACAGCAGCAUAUCUUUCUCAUAAACACAAAUACAGACUUUCCGAUUAUCAGUCAAUUUAGUAACCGUAUAUCCUAAAUGUACUUAUUCAGGGAGCAAUUUUUCUGAAUCACAACCUAACCAAUUCAAUGCGAAUGCCAAACAUUUUUUAUUUCAAAUCACAACAUCUAGAAUGAGCAUACCGAAACAAAUGUUUUCCAUUAGAAACACCACAAUGCGCAUAUAUCAACCGAUAAGAGAAAGCUAAAGCCAAUUCAUUUCUCACAAACAAUCAUACAAAGGCAUUAGAAAAGCAAUAUAAACAAGCAAUCAUGCAAGAUAGACCAGAACAAAAGCAUCUAGAUCUCUCUGAACUGAUAGAACUCACCGUACGUACUUCCCGACGAUUCCUACCUUCUUUGUUCUCUUAGUCUGCAACAAAACACAAUCGCGUGUGGUGGGUUGUGACGGUACAUGAUGGCAGGUGAUGGCGGUGGCGUUGUGAGAGGCGACGACCGUAGGCUCGCGCGUCGGAUCCAACAGAGACAGAGAUCGAGUUCGUGAUGUAGAUGGAGAUAAGCAUAGCCGUAGGGGGGGGGUUUCUGACUGCGAGGUUGAAAAAAGAGAGAGAGAUCUAGAGUAUUAGGGUAAGUCUAUGUAGUUAUUUGUGAUUUCACACGGAUAUCAGUGUCUACAUUUCACACGGAUAACUGUGUAUUCCAUAUUUCACACGAACAUCAGUAAGAAAAAACCUAUUGUUACGAAAAACUGUAACUAUUUGAUCUGUAUUAGUGAAAAAAUAGAAUUUAUUUUAAUCAUCUAAUAUUUCAUUGUUACAUAUAUGUGUGAGAAUUACAUUACACACAGAUUACUGUGAGAAUAGCCAAAAAUAUCAUUUGCAUUAACACAGUAAUCCGUCCCUAAUGCUUUUUUACACGGUUUUCUGUAGCUAUUGUUGUUGCAUAAGGUAAUGUGGGACCAACAAAUUUUUUUCACACUGUUUUCUGUAUGCUUUUGUAUUUCUCGCAGAUUUAUGUGAGUAUAAAUAAUAUAUGAGAGUUAAAUAUGUGUGAAAGCUUUUUUUUCUAGUAGUGAGUGCUCCAAAGAUUUACGAAACUCUUCCUAACUUCCCUAGCCAUUUUGGAGUUAAUCGAUCAGGAAAUAAUUGAUCAACACAUGAUGACCUAAUUGAUUGAUUUUUGAUAUGUCUCUCCCUCGAGCUAAGCUAUAUGU
RNAcentral lists this long non-coding RNA (2553 nucleotides) under Fragaria vesca (wild strawberry). RNAcentral describes it as "long non-coding RNA (FVES_LNC000100)". Lineage: Eukaryota; Viridiplantae; Streptophyta; Magnoliopsida; Rosales; Rosaceae. The record is from RNAcentral.